UGCCGAGAUGAGGAACAACAAAACCUCCACAGACA
This 35-nucleotide transfer RNA is filed under the name Podarcis tiliguerta. Its description in RNAcentral is "partial tRNA-Phe". The record is from RNAcentral. Lineage: Eukaryota; Metazoa; Chordata; Lepidosauria; Squamata; Lacertidae.